AUUGAACGCUGGCGGCAGGCCUAACACAUGCAAGUCGAGCGAGCGGCGGACGGGUGAGUAAUGUCUGGGAAACUGCCUGUUGGAGGGGGAUAACUCCUGGAAACGGUAGCUAAUCCCGCAUACCAUCAGAUGUGCCCAGAUGGGAUUAGCUGGUAGGUGGGGUAACGGCCCACAUAGGCGACGAUCCCUCGCUGGUCUGAGAGGAUGACCAGCCACACUGGAACUGAGACACGGUCCAGACUCCUACGGGAGGCAGCAGUGGGGAAUAUUGCACAAUGGGCGAAAGCCUGAUGCAGCCAUGCCGCGUGUGUGAAGAAGGCCUUCGGGUUGUAAAGCACUUUCAGCGGGGAGGCGUUACCCGCAGAAGAAGCACCGGCUAACUCCGUGCCAGCAGCCGCGGUAAUUC
This 406-nucleotide ribosomal RNA is filed under the name uncultured bacterium. RNAcentral's name for it is "partial 16S ribosomal RNA". It matches the Rfam family "Bacterial small subunit ribosomal RNA", at positions 30 to 526 of the family's 1533-position model. The record is from RNAcentral.